AGUGAACGCUGGCGGUAGGCCUAACACAUGCGAGUCGAACGGCAGCACAGUAAGAGCUUGCUCUUACGGGUGGCGAGUGGCGGACGGGUGAGGAAUACAUCGGAAUCUACUUUUUCGCGGGGGAUAACGUAGGGAAACUUACGCUAAUACCGCAUACGACCUACGGGUGAAAGCAGGGGAUCUUCGGACCUUGCGCGAUUGAAUGAGCCGAUGUCGGAUUAGCUAGUUGGCGGGGUAAAGGCCCACCAAGGCGACGAUCCGUAGCUGGUCUGAGAGGAUGAUUAGCCACACUGGAACUGAGACACGGUCCAGACUCCUACGGGAGGCAGCAGUGGGGAAUAUUGGACAAUGGGCGCAAGCCUGAUCCAGCCAUACCGCGUGGGUGAAGAAGGCCUUCGGGUUGUAAAGCCCUUUUGUUGGGAAAGAAAAGCAGCAGGUUAAUACCCCGCUGUUCUGACGGUACCCAAAGAAUAAGCACCGGCUAACUUCGUG
RNAcentral lists this ribosomal RNA (492 nucleotides) under uncultured bacterium. RNAcentral describes it as "partial 16S ribosomal RNA". It matches the Rfam family "Bacterial small subunit ribosomal RNA", at positions 29 to 507 of the family's 1533-position model. The record is from RNAcentral.